Molecule: ribosomal RNA, 402 nt
Rfam family: Bacterial small subunit ribosomal RNA
UGGGGAAUAUUGCACAAUGGACGAAAGUCUGAUGCAGCGACGCCGCGUGAGGGAAGAAGGUAUUCGUAUUGUAAACCUCUGUCUUCGAGGACGAUAAUGACGGUACUCGAGGAGGAAGCCACGGCUAACUACGUGCCAGCAGCCGCGGUAAAACGUAGGUGGCAAGCGUUGUCCGGAAUUACUGGGUGUAAAGGGAGCGCAGGCGGAAAGGCAAGUUGAAUGUGAAAUCUAUGGGCUCAACCCAUAAAUUGCGUUCAAAACUGUUUUUCUUGAGUGAAGUAGAGGCAAGCGGAAUUCCAGGUGUAGCGGUGGAAUGCGUAGAUAUCUGGAGGAACACCGGUGGCGAAGGCGGCUUGCUGGGCUUUUACUGACGCUGAGGCUCGAAAGCAUGGGUAGCAAACA